This 345-nucleotide long non-coding RNA is filed under the name Brassica napus (rape). Its description in RNAcentral is "long non-coding RNA (BNAP_LNC019605)". The record is from RNAcentral. Lineage: Eukaryota; Viridiplantae; Streptophyta; Magnoliopsida; Brassicales; Brassicaceae.
UGUCCGAUGUAGAUCCUAAAAUCUACACUAAGUAUUUGAUAGUGAUCGGGAGUUUAAUCUAGGGAAGAUAAAUGAUGUAGGCAACGAUAUGUUUAGAACACAACGAUGUAAUCAGUUUCCAGUAGGUAAAAAUGGACUUUAUUGAUGAAUAAGAUCGAAUACAAUGAGUUAAACUAGAUCGGAUGUUACAAAUGAGAUGUAUAAAGAAAGGAUCUAAGAUGGGAAUGAAAACAAGGUCGAUGUAUGUGUGUAGCUCUCUCUAGGGUUUUCAACGUGUCCCCCUUCAUGUUCGUUCCUCUCUCUUUAUAAUGAGUCGACUUCCUCCUCUUCGCAACUGCUAUGCGA